UUUUGGACAAUGGGGGCAACCCUGAUCCAGCCAUGCCGCGUGCGGGAAGAAGGCCUUCGGGUUGUAAACCGCUUUUGUUCGGGAAGAAAUCCUCUGGGCCAAUACCCCGGGGGGAUGACGGUACCGGAAGAAUAAGCACCGGCUAACUACGUGCCAGCAGCCGCGGUAAUACGUAGGGUGCGAGCGUUAAUCGGAAUUACUGGGCGUAAAGCGUGCGCAGGCGGUUGUGCAAGACAGAUGUGAAAUCCCCGGGCUUAACCUGGGAACUGCAUUUGUGACUGCACGGCUAGAGUGCGGCAGAGGGGAGUGGAAUUCCGCGUGUAGCAGUGAAAUGCGUAGAUAUGCGGAGGAACACCGAUGGCGAAGGCAGCUCCCUGGGCCUGCACUGACGCUCAUGCACGAAA
This 404-nucleotide ribosomal RNA is filed under the name uncultured bacterium. RNAcentral's name for it is "bacterial SSU rRNA". It matches the Rfam family "Bacterial small subunit ribosomal RNA", at positions 362 to 758 of the family's 1533-position model. The record is from RNAcentral.